This 497-nucleotide ribosomal RNA is filed under the name uncultured bacterium. Its description in RNAcentral is "partial 16S ribosomal RNA". It matches the Rfam family "Bacterial small subunit ribosomal RNA", at positions 28 to 507 of the family's 1533-position model. The record is from RNAcentral.
GAUGAACGCUGGCGGCGUGCCUAAUACAUGCAAGUCGAGCGAACAGACGAGGAGCUUUCUCCUCUGACGUUAGCGGCGGACGGGGGAGUAACACGUGGAGAACCUACCUAUAAGACUGGGAUAACUUCGUGAAACCGGAGCUAAUACCGGAUAAUAUAUUGAACCGCAUGGUUCAAUAGUGAAAGACGGUUUUGCUGUCACUUAUAGAUGGAUCCGCGCCGCAUUAGCUAGUUGGUAAGGUAACGGCUUACCAAGGCAACGAUGCGUAGCCGACCUGAGAGGGUGAUCGGCCACACUGGAACUGAGACACGGUCCAGACUCCUACGGGAGGCAGCAGUAGGGAAUCUUCCGCAAUGGGCGAAAGCCUGACGGAGCAACGCCGCGUGAGUGAUGAAGGUCUUCGGAUCGUAAAACUCUGUUAGUAGGGAAGAACAAAUGUGUAAGUAACUAUGCACGUAUUGACGGUACCUAAUCAGAAAGCCACGGCUAACUACGUG